UUUCCGUAGGUGAACCUGCGGAAGGAUCAUUACCGAGUGAGGUUCUGUCAGUCUCGACCUCCCACCCUGCUGUUUUGUGUCCUUGUUGCGGUUGCUUGCCCACCACGAUGUGAGGCCGCCGGAAGCUCACCGCUAUGGCAAGUUCCCAUCAGUAGCCCCCUUGAAUUCUUAAUAGACCAAUAACGUGGGUGAUUGGAUAUAAAGAAAAAAAACUUUCAAUCACUGAACUCUUGCUUCUGGCACCGAUGAAGAACGCAACAAAUAGGAAGAUCACACGUC
Molecule: unclassified non-coding RNA, 279 nt
Filed under: plant metagenome
Description: partial contains small subunit ribosomal RNA, internal transcribed spacer 1, and 5.8S ribosomal RNA
Source: RNAcentral